GUAGGUGGCAAGCGUUGUCCGGGAAUUAUUGGGGCGUAAAGCGCGCGCAGGCGGUUCUUUAAGUCUGAUGUGAAAGCCCACGGGCUCAACCGUGGAGGGUCAUUGGAAACUGGAGAACUUGAGUACAGAAGAGGAAAGCGGAAUUCCACGUGUGGCGGUGAAAUGCGUAGAGAUGUGGAGGAACACCAGUGGCGAAGGCGGCUUUCUGGUCUGUAACUGACGCUGAUGCGCGAAAGCGUGGGGAGCAAACAGGAUUAGAUACCCUGGUAGUCCACGCCGUAAACGAUGAGUGCUAAGUGUUAGGGGGUUUCCGCCCCUUAGUGCUGCAGCUAACGCAUUAAGCACUCCGCCUGGGGAGUACGGCCGCAAAGGCUG
Molecule: ribosomal RNA, 375 nt
Filed under: uncultured organism
Description: partial 16S ribosomal RNA
Rfam family: Bacterial small subunit ribosomal RNA
Source: RNAcentral